RNAcentral lists this ribosomal RNA (253 nucleotides) under uncultured bacterium. RNAcentral describes it as "partial 16S ribosomal RNA". It matches the Rfam family "Bacterial small subunit ribosomal RNA", at positions 524 to 776 of the family's 1533-position model. The record is from RNAcentral.
UACGUAGGGUGCGAGCGUUGUCCGGAAUUAUUGGGCGUAAAGGGCUCGUAGGCGGUCUGUCACGUCGAAAGUGAAAACUCAGGGCUUAACCCUGAGCCUGCUUCCGAUACGGGCAGACUAGAGGUAUGCAGGGGAGAAUGGAAUUCCUGGUGUAGCGGUGAAAUGCGCAGAUAUCAGGAGGAACACCAGUGGCGAAGGCGGUUCUCUGGGCAUUACCUGACGCUGAGGAGCGAAAGUGUGGGGAGCGAACAGG